CCUACGGGUGGCUGCAGUGAGGAAUAUUGGUCAAUGGCCGAGAGGCUGAACCAGCCAAGUCGCGUGAGGGAAGACGGCCCUACGGGUUGUAAACCUCUUUUGUCGGGGAGCAAAGAGAGUCACGUGUGACUCAUUGAGAGUACCCGGAGAAAAAGGAUCGGCUAACUCCGCGCCAGCAGCCGCGGUAAUACGGAGGAAGGGAGCGUUAUCCGGAUUUAGUGGGUUUAAAGGGGGUGCAGGCGGAAUAUCAAGUCAGCGGUAAAAAUUCGGGGCUCAACCCCGUCGUGCCGUUGAAACUGAGGUUCUUGAGUGGGCGAGAAGGAUGCGGAAUGCGUGGUGUAGCGGUGAAAUGCAUAGAUAUCACGCAGAACUCCGAUUGCGAAGGCAGCAUACCGGCGCCCAACUGACGCUGAAGCACGAAAGCGUGGGUAUCGAACAGGAUUAGAUACCCCGGUAGUC
RNAcentral lists this ribosomal RNA (459 nucleotides) under uncultured bacterium. RNAcentral's name for it is "partial 16S ribosomal RNA". It matches the Rfam family "Bacterial small subunit ribosomal RNA", at positions 338 to 795 of the family's 1533-position model. The record is from RNAcentral.